CCUACGGGACGCAGCAGUGAGGAAUAUUGGUCAAUGGGAGGAAUCCUGAACCAGCCAUGCCGCGUGCAGGACGACGGCUCUACGAGUUGUAAACUGCUUUUGUACCGGGGUAAAAUGCCUUACGAGUAGGGUUUUGAAAGUACGGUACGAAUAAGGAUCGGCUAACUCCGUGCCAGCAGCCGCGGUAAUACGUAGGGGGCAAGCGUUAUCCGGAUUUACUGGGUGUAAAGGGAGCGUAGACGGAAAGGCAAGUCAGAAGUGAAAACCCAAGGCUCAACCAUGGGACUGCUUUUGAAACUGUCAAA
This 305-nucleotide ribosomal RNA is filed under the name uncultured bacterium. RNAcentral describes it as "bacterial SSU rRNA". It matches the Rfam family "Bacterial small subunit ribosomal RNA", at positions 338 to 640 of the family's 1533-position model. The record is from RNAcentral.